Molecule: ribosomal RNA, 700 nt
Filed under: uncultured Pseudomonas sp.
Lineage: Bacteria; Pseudomonadati; Pseudomonadota; Gammaproteobacteria; Pseudomonadales; Pseudomonadaceae
Description: bacterial SSU rRNA
Rfam family: Bacterial small subunit ribosomal RNA
Source: RNAcentral
ACAUCAAUCGAACGGCAGCACAGAGAGCUUUUCCUGGGUUCGAGUGGCGACGGUGAGGAUCAUCGGAUUCUCUUUUCUGGGGAUAACGUAGGAAAUUACGCUAUACCGCAUCGACCUACGGGGAAAGCAGGGACCUUCGGCCCUGCGCGAUUGAAUGAGCCGAGUCGGAUUAGCUAGUGGCGGGGUAAAGGCCCACCAAGGCGACGAUCCGUAGCUGUUCUGAGAGGAUGUUCAGCCACACUGGAACUGAGACACGGUCCAGAUUCCUACGGGAGGCAGCAGUGGGGAAUAUUGGACAAUGGGCGCAAGCCUGAUCCAGCCAUACCGCGUGGGUGAAGAAGGCCUUCGGGUUGUAAAGCCCUUUUGUUGGGAAAGAAAUCCAGCUGGCUAAUACCCGGUUGGGAUGACGGUACCCAAAGAAUAAGCACCGGCUAACUUCGUGCCAGCAGCCGCGGUAAUACGAAGGGUGCAAGCGUUACUCGGAAUUACUGGGCGUAAAGCGUGCGUAGGUGGUCGUUUAAGUCCGUUGUGAAAUCCCUGGGCUCAACCUGGGAACUGCAGUGGAUACUGGGCGACUAGAGUGUGGUAGAGGGUAGCGGAAUUCCUGGUGUAGCAGUGAAAUGCGUAGAGAUCAGGAGGAACAUCCAUGGCGAAGGCAGCUACCUGGCCUAACACUGACACUGAGGCACGAAAAGGACGG